GCUUACUGGGCCAUUACUGACGCUGAGGCACGNNNNCGUGGGGAGCGAACAGGAUUAGAUACCCUGGUAGUCCACGCCGUAAACGAUGAUCACUCGCUGUUGGCGAUACACAGUCAGCGGCUAAGCAAAAGCAUUAAGUGAUCCACCUGGGGAGUACGGCCGCAAGGCUGAAACUCAAAGGAAUUGACGGGGGCCCGCACAAGCGGAGGAACAUGUGGUUUAAUUCGAUGAUACGCGAGGAACCUUACCUGGGCUUAAAUGUAGAGUGCAUGGGGUAGAAAUAUCCCUUUCCUUCGGGACUCUUUGCAAGGUGCUGCAUGGUUGUCGUCAGCUCGUGCCGUGAGGUGUCGGGUUAAGUCCCAUAACGAGCGCAACCCUUAUCGUUAGUUGCCAGCGGGUAAUGCCGGGAACUCUAACGAAACUGCCGGUGUAAACCGUGAGGAAGGUGGGGAUGACGUCAAAUCAGCACGGCCCUUAUGUCCAGGGCUACACACGUGUUACAAUGGCCGGUACAGAGGGCAGCUACCUGGAGACAGGAUGCGAAUCUCCAAAGCCGGUCUCAGUUCGGAUCGGAGUCUGCAACUCGACUCCGUGAAGCUGGAUUCGCUAGUAAUCGCGCAUCAGCCAUGGCGCGGUGAAUACGUUCCCGGGCCUUGUACACACCGCCCGUCAAGCCAUGGAAGUUGGGGGUACCUGAAGUCCGUNNCCGUA
This 711-nucleotide ribosomal RNA is filed under the name uncultured bacterium. Its description in RNAcentral is "bacterial SSU rRNA". It matches the Rfam family "Bacterial small subunit ribosomal RNA", at positions 724 to 1438 of the family's 1533-position model. The record is from RNAcentral.